GUGCCAGCCGCCGCGGUAAUACCGGCAGCUCAAGUGAUAUCCCAUAUUAUUGGGCCUAAAGCGUCCGUAGCUGGCCGACCAAGUCUACCGGGAAAUCCACUCGCCCAACGAGUGGGCGUCCGACGGAAACUGCAUAGCUUGGGACCGGAAGGCUCGAAGGGUACGUGCGGGGUAGGAGUGAAAUCCCAUAAUCCCGCACGGACCACCGAUGGCGAAAGCACUUCGAGAAAACGAAUCCGACAGUGAGGGACGAAAGCCAGGGUCUCCAACCGGAUUAGAUACCCCAGUAGUCC
This 293-nucleotide ribosomal RNA is filed under the name uncultured bacterium. RNAcentral describes it as "partial 16S ribosomal RNA". It matches the Rfam family "Archaeal small subunit ribosomal RNA", at positions 455 to 747 of the family's 1478-position model. The record is from RNAcentral.